RNAcentral lists this transfer RNA (77 nucleotides) under Candidatus Evtepia faecigallinarum. Its description in RNAcentral is "tRNA-Arg". It matches the Rfam family "tRNA". From Rfam's summary of the family: Transfer RNA (tRNA) molecules are approximately 80 nucleotides in length. Their secondary structure includes four short double-helical elements and three loops (D, anti-codon, and T loops). The record is from RNAcentral. Lineage: Bacteria; Bacillati; Bacillota; Clostridia; Eubacteriales.
GCCCCCGUACCUCACCAGGAUAGAGGGUCCGCCUCCUAAGCGGAACGUAGUGCGUUCGAGUCGCGCCGGGGGUGCCA